AACGAACGCUGGCGGCGUGCUUAACACAUGCAAGUCGAACGCGAACGAGUUCUUCGGAACUUCAGUAGAGUGGCGCACGGGUGAGUAACGCGUAAGUAAUCUACCCUCGCAUUUGGGAUAACCCACCGAAAGGUGUGCUAAUACCGGAUACGUCUAUUUUAAUAUCUUUUUUAUAGAGAAAGGUGGCCUCUGAUUCAAGCUACUGUGCGGGGAGGAGCUUGCGUACCAUUAGCUAGUUGGUAGGGUAAUGGCCUACCAAGGCAACGAUGGUUAGCGGGUCUGAGAGGAUGAUCCGCCACACUGGAACUGAAACACGGACCAGACUCCUACGGGAGGCAGCAGUGAGGAAUAUUGCGCAAUGGGGGCAACCCUGACGCAGCGACGCCGCGUGGAUGAUGAAGGCCUUCGGGUUGUAAAAUCCUGUCAGAUGGGAAGAAGUGUGAUAUGGUUAAGAGCUGUAUUAUUUGACGGUACCAUCAAAGGAAGCACCGGCUAACUCCGUG
Molecule: ribosomal RNA, 503 nt
Filed under: uncultured delta proteobacterium
Lineage: Bacteria; Deltaproteobacteria
Description: bacterial SSU rRNA
Rfam family: Bacterial small subunit ribosomal RNA
Source: RNAcentral